GAUGAAGAACGUAGCGAAAUGCGAUAAGUAAUGUGAAUUGCAGAAUUCAGUGAAUCAUCGAGUCUUUGAACGCACAUUGCGCCCCCUGGUAUUCCGGGGGGCAUGCCUGUCCGAGCGUCAUUGCUGCCCUCAAGCACGGCUUGUGUGUUGGGCCUCCGUCCUCCUCCCGGGGGACGGGCCCGAAAGGCGGCGGCGGCACCGCGUCCGGUCCUCGAGCGUAUGGGGCUUCGUCACCCGCUCUUGUAGGCCCGGCCGGCGCUUGCCGACACAUCAAUCUUUUUUCCAGGUUGACCUCGGAUCAGGUAUGGAUACCCGCUGAACUUAAGCAUAUCAAUAAGCGGAGGA
Molecule: unclassified non-coding RNA, 345 nt
Filed under: soil metagenome
Description: partial contains 5.8S ribosomal RNA, internal transcribed spacer 2, and large subunit ribosomal RNA
Rfam family: 5.8S ribosomal RNA (bases 1-120)
Source: RNAcentral